AUUAUCUUGGCAGAUUAGUGCAAUAAAUUUAGAAUUUAGUUAAGAAAUUUUUAUUUAAUUUCAGAUAAUA
This 70-nucleotide transfer RNA is filed under the name Janus sp. Its description in RNAcentral is "tRNA-Leu". Lineage: Eukaryota; Metazoa; Arthropoda; Insecta; Hymenoptera; Cephidae. The record is from RNAcentral.